This is an RNA transcript of Zingiber officinale, 2660 nucleotides long. It is a transcript of the gene named isocitrate dehydrogenase [NAD] regulatory subunit 1, mitochondrial-like, with no coding region annotated. The transcript is spliced from 5 exons. The record is from RefSeq and is a predicted model, not a curated record. NCBI's taxonomy places the organism in Eukaryota, Viridiplantae, Streptophyta, Magnoliopsida, Zingiberales, Zingiberaceae.
UCGAAGGCUGCAUCAGUCUUUUCUGCCGCCUACUCCUCCCUUUCGGUUUCCGGGGCGCGGCACAGCUACUGGCGAUGAUGCGUCGAUCCCCUUCUCUUCUACGCCGCAUCCUCCUGCCACGCGCCGAUGGACGGCGAUCAGUCACCUACAUGCCCCGGCCCGGCGACGGAUCUCCCAGGAUCGUCACCCUGAUCCCCGGCGACGGGAUUGGGCCCCUCGUCACCGGCGCCGUGCAGCAGAUCAUGGAGGCCAUGCACGCGCCGGUGUUCUUUGAGACGUUCGAGGUUCACGGGGAUAUGCCCGCGUUUCCUCCGGAGGUUAUCGAGUCGAUCCGGCGGAACAAGGUGUGCCUCAAGGGCGGACUCUUCACCCCGGUGGGAGGUGGGGUGAGCUCCCUCAACAUGCAUCUGAGGAAGGAGCUCGAUCUGUACGCCUCGCUGGUUCAUUGCUGCAACCAUCCCGGGCUGCCGACGAGGCAUGAGAAUGUGGACAUUGUGGUGAUCAGGGAGAACACGGAAGGCGAGUACUCGGGCUUGGAGCACGAGGUUGUGCCUGGCGUCGUUGAGAGCCUCAAGGUAAUAACAAAAUUUUGUUCCGAGCGCAUCGCGCAGUAUGCAUUUGAGUAUGCUUACCUUAACAACAGGAAGAAAGUCACAGCAGUGCAUAAGGCAAACAUUAUGAAGCUUGCUGAUGGGUUGUUCUUAGAAUCUUGCCGUGAGGUUGCAACCAAAUACCCAGGGAUAAAAUAUAAUGAAAUCAUAGUUGACAACUGUUGCAUGCAACUUGUGUCAAAGCCUGAACAAUUUGAUGUCAUGGUCACACCAAAUCUUUAUGGCAAUUUAGUGGCAAACACGGCUGCUGGAAUUGCCGGAGGCAGUGGAGUUAUGCCAGGAGGAAACGUGGGCAAAGAACAUGCAGUGUUCGAGCAAGGUGCUACAGCCGGCAACGUAGGGAACCAGAAGCUGGUGGAGCAGAAGAAGGCAAACCCGGUGGCGCUGCUGCUCUCGUCUGCCAUGAUGCUGCGGCAUCUGCGGUUCCCGUCGUUCGCCGAUCGACUGGAGACUGCCGUCAAGAGAGUGAUUGCAGAAGGCGAGCGCCGGACCAAAGACUUGGGAGGAAGCAGCACCACCCAAGAAGUCGUUGAUGCAGUCAUUGCAAAGCUCGACUGGGUGAGCCACCGCUAAACCUCUCUCUCCGCUCGCUCAGGAAUGACCGCCGCAUGUGUAUUUUUAAAUUUAUUUAUAGUGAUGAUUUCUCGGAUUCUCAUCGGGGCAACUCCCAUGGUUUUUUCUGUUCCGAUUAAUAAUAAUUUCAUUUGUCAAUAAACAAAACGGUCUUUUUUAUUUCAAUAAUGACUAGCUUUGAUUUAUCGGCGAUUUCAUUACUUAAGUUUUAUUUGUCCAAAACCUAGAUUCAUUAAAUAAAUGGAUAGUGAAACUUCUCAUGCGAUUCCGUAAUCGUCGUUGAUUUUAUUUCCAAAAGCGUCACGAAUCGUGUAACUCCCCGGUUCAUACCCGUGACGUGCCGAAUCGGCCGCGGGGUUGCAGCAAUGCCGUUCUCAGACGUCGACGCGGCGGAUGCCACCCUCGAGCUCACCAUCUUCCUCCACUCCGCCGGUGGAAGCAACCGUCUCAGGGGAUCUUCCUCGUUCCUCCUCCUCCCUUCUUCCAAGCCCAAGAUCUUCGCCGUCGCCUGGAUCGACCCCACCGCAAAGCGAUCCACCAAGUCGCUCUCCCUCAAGGGCCCCAGUCCCGAUCUCCACCUCCCCCUCUCCCCCCGCGUCCUCCGCGACGCACAAUCCACCCUGACUGUCCAGAUCUUCUCAUCUCGCUUCCCCUUCGGCCGCGGCGGUGCUAACGCAAGGUUGGAAGGCGCCGCCGUUGUCCCCCUCUCUUCGCUGCCCGCUGCCGCAGGAAAAACCCUCACCUUUCCCCUUAUCCGCUCCUCCAGACGUUCCGAGGGCUUCUUCCGCAUCUCUACACGCGUGCUUUGGAGCCUCGGUGCCUCGCCGCAGGCGGCUUCCCAAGCAGAGUGCUAUGAUUGGCUUCCCGAACACUUUGCCAUGGCUCCGGCGACUAGCGGGGAGUUGGGAUUUUACAGAAUAGAGCCGAAUGCGCCGCCGAUUUCGGAAGAGUACGGCAGGCAACCGCCGAAUUAUCCAUCCGAAGAGACCGCUGCUAGCCUUCCGUCAUUUAUGGCAAGACCAGACACACUGCCGAUGCAGGAAGAAAACGACGGUAAUCUUCAUCUACCUCCAUCAGAAAAUCAACCGAAGCAUGGAGGGUUCGCCCGUGCAUGGAGGAGUUUCUGGGUCGGAUUGGCGAGCGGUUCCGUCGCGGUUGCACUGAUCGGAGCAACUGCCUUUUACGAGGGCUAAAGGAAACAUCUUGAUUACGAAGAUCUGCCAUUGAAUUGUAGAUGAACUGAUCAACUGACUGCUAAAACUACUGCAAUAGAAUUCCUACUGAUGCACGAUUUCGCUCAUCCAUGACAGUGUUUUCAGUGUUCAUGCUUGCUCUUCUAUAGUAACACUUGGUGUUCAAUAGCUUAUCUGGUUAGUCUCAAAUCAAAUGAAGUCCUACUUAUUGAAUGCGUUCUUGUUUUAUGAUUGCUAGUAUGAACAAUUGAGUUCUUGUUUAUGAAAAUUAAAGAAUCAGCUA